Phascolarctos cinereus (koala) is the source of this 892-nucleotide non-coding RNA. The record is from RefSeq and is a predicted model, not a curated record. NCBI's taxonomy places the organism in Eukaryota, Metazoa, Chordata, Mammalia, Diprotodontia, Phascolarctidae.
UGGCUGUUUUUAUAUGGCAUGUAGCUCAAUAAACAGAAGAACACAACAGAAACAUAAGCAAUUUCAAACAUUUAUUAAAUUCCUAAUAUGUCCCAAGCGCUAUGUUAGGCAGUGUAGAUACAAAGACAAAAUGAAACAAUCCCUGGCCUCAGGUGGUUUGUAUUCUAAUAGAGGAAAACAACAUGUACUCAUAUAGAUAUAUACAAAAUACAUAGGCAGGAAUAUACAGAACACCGCCCCCACACCCCAUACAUAAAAAGCAGAAAAAAAGGCAACCUUAGAGUGGAAGGCAUUUUCAGUGGGAAAGAUGAGGAAACAUCUCAUGCAGAAGUUGAUGCUCAAGUUGAGUCACAAAGGAAACCAGGGAUUCCAAGAUGCAGAGGUAAGGAGGGAGAACACAGCUAUGAAGACAGCAGAUGGAGCGCUGUGUAUAAGGAACAGCAAAUAGGCCAGCACGUAUAUUGAGUUUUCAGUGGGACAAGAUUAACAAUAGUGAUGCCAAAAAUAAAAGGGCCAUUAGAACAUUUUUCAAAUGCACAGAAGAGAAAAGGAGGAAGUUCAGAAGGAAGCGGAGACAAGCAGUACAGUUCUCAAAGACCCGGCUUAAAUGUCACCUCAUCCAAGAACCUUUUCCUGCCUCCUCAACAAGAUAUUAUCUUUCCUUCUAUAUUCUUAUAUAAAUGUGCAGGUUGGUAUAUUUGUGUAUUGCUGUCUCCUUACCCCAAAUCCCACCAUAUUGUAAGCUCCAUAACAGAAGAGAUCAUAUCUUAAUUAUAUUUAUAUCUUUUUUGAUGUCCUGCAGUUUCUUGUUCAUGGUAGGCAAUUAAAUGCCUUUAAAAAAAAUUAAUGAAUACAUAAAAUUUAUUAAGUACCUAUUAUGUUCAAGACAUUG